Myotis davidii is the source of this 394-nucleotide long non-coding RNA. RefSeq lists it as uncharacterized. The transcript is spliced from 3 exons. The record is from RefSeq and is a predicted model, not a curated record. NCBI's taxonomy places the organism in Eukaryota, Metazoa, Chordata, Mammalia, Chiroptera, Vespertilionidae.
CUUCAGGGGACCUGCCGGGCCCCUGCGAGCCAGCGGCACCAUAGCUUGAGAAGAAAGCUCCAAGUCCAGAUUGGCCUGGGCCAGAAUCCUCCAGACCCUCAGAUUGCAGUAUGCUCCCAGUCCCCAAGAGAAAAGAUUAUUAAGUCUACGGCCAAGGCUUUAACGAGGAGGGAUCCUGCGGAGGGCAGUGAAGAGGAGGACGGGGUGCACAGUGAAGAGACUCUAAGUGAGCAUGGGGUGGGCGUGCCAAGCAGGGCUAGCUGCCACCUGAGAUCCGUGCCAGGGACCAUGACAAAGAGCAGCCGACUUAGACAGUUUUAUACGUCCCUCUGACAAGCGGCUGGGUGACCUCCAUCCUACAGAAGUGAGGAAACAGUCCAUGUGUAAAACACUA